GUUCAAUUUUGGGGAUGAUGCUCCCAUUCUCUUCAGGGAUACUGCUUUCGUUCUGUUCUUCCACAAACAUUUUAGCUGGAUGAACUUCUUGUGCGGUAUAUUCAAGGUACGACUUUCAUUUUUGGGGAUGAUGCAUCCC
Molecule: long non-coding RNA, 139 nt
Organism: Hibiscus syriacus
Lineage: Eukaryota; Viridiplantae; Streptophyta; Magnoliopsida; Malvales; Malvaceae
Exons: 4
Source: RefSeq, a predicted model, not a curated record